GUAUAGUAGUGCGUGUGCACAACAAUAAUUUCAUUACAUUCGAGUGUGUGUAAAAAUCCUCUGCCAGCCGAAGCUAGCAAGAGGCCAGAAGUUCACAAGGGUAUUGGAUGAAAGUCACCCACGUGCACUUGCCGGGGCCAGCACUGAAGGUAACGAUUCACAAUCAAUAAUGAUCCUUCCGCAGGUUCACCUACGGAAA
This 199-nucleotide unclassified non-coding RNA is filed under the name uncultured fungus. RNAcentral describes it as "sequence contains ITS1". Lineage: Eukaryota; Fungi. The record is from RNAcentral.